CCCUUAGAUGUCCUGGGCCGCACGCGCGCUACACUGAUGCAUGCAACGAGUUUAUAACCUUGGCCUGAAAGGCCUGGGUAAUCUUUUGAACGUGCAUCGUGAUAGGGAUAGAUUAUUGCAAUUAUUAAUCUUGAACGAGGAAUUCCUAGUAAACGCGAGUCAUCAGCUCGCAUUGAUUACGUCCCUGCCCUUUGUACACACCGCCCGUCGCACCUACCGAUUGAAUGGUUCGGUGAAGAUUUCGGACUAUAGUAUUUAUCCUUCAUUGGAUUUGUAUUGCGGGAAGUUAUCUAAACCUCAUCAUUUAGAGGAAGGUGAAGUCGUAACA
This 328-nucleotide ribosomal RNA is filed under the name uncultured eukaryote. RNAcentral's name for it is "partial 18S ribosomal RNA". It matches the Rfam family "Eukaryotic small subunit ribosomal RNA", at positions 1470 to 1796 of the family's 1831-position model. The record is from RNAcentral.